CCUUGCCAGCCCGCUCAGAAACUCAAAUGAAUUGACGGGGACCCGCACAAGCGGUGGAUGAUGUGGAUUAAUUCGAUGCAACGCGAAAAACCUUACCUACCCUUGACAUGUCUGGAACCUUGGUGAGAGCCGAGGGUGCCUUCGGGAGCCAGAACACAGGUGCUGCAUGGCUGUCGUCAGCUCGUGUCGUGAGAUGUUGGGUUAAGUCCCGCAACGAGCGCAACCCUUGUCACUAGUUGCCAUCAUUUGGUUGGGCACUCUAGUGAGACUGCCGGUGACAAACCGGAGGAAGGUGGGGAUGACGUCAAGUCCUCAUGGCCCUUAUGGGUAGGGCUUCACACGUCAUACAAUGGUCGGUACAGAGGGUUGCCAAGCCGCGAGGUGGAGCCAAUCCCUUAAAGCCGAUCGUAGUCCGGAUCGUAGUCUGCAACUCGACUACGUGAAGUCGGAAUCGCUAGUAAUCGUGAAUCAGAAUGUCACGGUGAAUACGUUCCCGGGCCUU
This 502-nucleotide ribosomal RNA is filed under the name uncultured Thauera sp. RNAcentral describes it as "bacterial SSU rRNA". It matches the Rfam family "Bacterial small subunit ribosomal RNA", at positions 903 to 1382 of the family's 1533-position model. Lineage: Bacteria; Pseudomonadati; Pseudomonadota; Betaproteobacteria; Rhodocyclales; Zoogloeaceae. The record is from RNAcentral.